Molecule: transfer RNA, 76 nt
Filed under: Vibrio splendidus ZS-139
Lineage: Bacteria; Pseudomonadati; Pseudomonadota; Gammaproteobacteria; Vibrionales; Vibrionaceae
Description: tRNA-Ile
Rfam family: tRNA
About the family: Transfer RNA (tRNA) molecules are approximately 80 nucleotides in length.
Source: RNAcentral
GCUGAUAUAACUCAGUCGUUAGAGCGCAUCCUUGAUAAGGGUGAAGCUCCUAGUUCGACUUUGGGUAUUAGCACCA